UCUGGCGGCAGUAGCGCGGUGGUCCCACCUGACCCCAUGCCGAACUCAGAAGUGAAACGCCGUAGCGCCGAUGGUAGUGUGGGGUCUCCCCAUGCGAUGCCGAACUCAGAAGUGAAACGCCGUAGCGCCGAUGGUAGUGUGGGGUCUCCCCAUGCGAGAGUAGGGAACUGCCAGGC
This 176-nucleotide ribosomal RNA is filed under the name Escherichia coli. Lineage: Bacteria; Pseudomonadati; Pseudomonadota; Gammaproteobacteria; Enterobacterales; Enterobacteriaceae. The record is from RNAcentral.